UAUAUAGUUUUCUAGGGUUCCGCAGUGUUUAGCUGGACAGGUCCAAGAGAAAACGCACAUUUCAUUGUGUACACGGAAGGAUAAAAGCCUGGGAGAG
This 97-nucleotide small RNA is filed under the name Geosporobacter ferrireducens. Its description in RNAcentral is "Guanidine-I sequence". It matches the Rfam family "Guanidine-I riboswitch aptamer". From Rfam's summary of the family: This family represents a conserved RNA structure found upstream of the ykkC and yxkD genes in Bacillus subtilis and related genes in other bacteria. The function of this family is unclear although it has been suggested that it may function to switch on efflux pumps and detoxification systems in response to harmful environmental molecules. Nelson showed that this riboswitch senses and responds to guanidine and it was renamed Guanidine-I riboswitch. The record is from Rfam by way of RNAcentral. Lineage: Bacteria; Bacillati; Bacillota; Clostridia; Peptostreptococcales; Thermotaleaceae.